This 482-nucleotide ribosomal RNA is filed under the name uncultured bacterium. RNAcentral's name for it is "partial 16S ribosomal RNA". It matches the Rfam family "Bacterial small subunit ribosomal RNA", at positions 30 to 507 of the family's 1533-position model. The record is from RNAcentral.
AUUGAACGCUGGCGGCAUGCUUUACACAUGCAAGUCGAACGGUAACAGGCCGCAAGGUGCUGACGAGUGGCGCACGGGUGAGUAAUGCAUCGGAACGUGCCCAGUCGUGGGGGAUAACUACUCGAAAGAGUAGCUAAUACCGCAUACGAUCUAUGGGUGAAAGCGGGGGACCGUAAGGCCUCGCGCGAUUGGAGCGGCCGAUGUCAGAUUAGGUAGUUGGUGGGGUAAAGGCUCACCAAGCCAACGAUCUGUAGCUGGUCUGAGAGGACGACCAGCCACACUGGGACUGAGACACGGCCCAGACUCCUACGGGAGGCAGCAGUGGGGAAUUUUGGACAAUGGGCGCAAGCCUGAUCCAGCAAUGCCGCGUGCAGGAAGAAGGCCUUCGGGUUGUAAACUGCUUUUGUACGGAACGAAACGGCUCUGGUUAAUACCCGGGGCUAAUGACGGUACCGUAAGAAUAAGCACCGGCUAACUACGUG